UACGGAGGAUGCGAGCGUUACUCGGAAUCACUGGGCGUAAAGAGCGUGUAGGCGGGUAUAUAAGUCAGAUGUGAAAUCCCGGGGCUCAACCUCGGACCCGCAUUUGAAACUUUCUUUCUAGAGGGUAGAUGGAGAAAACGGAAUUCCACGUGUAGCGGUGAAAUGCGUAGAUAUGUGGAAGAACAUCCGUGGCGAAGGCAAUCCCCUGGGUCGACACUGACGCUCAUGCACGAAAGCGUGGGGAGCAAACAGG
RNAcentral lists this ribosomal RNA (253 nucleotides) under uncultured bacterium. RNAcentral describes it as "partial 16S ribosomal RNA". It matches the Rfam family "Bacterial small subunit ribosomal RNA", at positions 524 to 776 of the family's 1533-position model. The record is from RNAcentral.